Small nuclear RNA from Talpa occidentalis (Iberian mole), 167 nucleotides. RefSeq annotates it as U1 spliceosomal RNA. The transcript has a single exon. NCBI's taxonomy places the organism in Eukaryota, Metazoa, Chordata, Mammalia, Eulipotyphla, Talpidae. The record is from RefSeq and is a predicted model, not a curated record.
CUACUCACCUGGUAAGGGAGACAUCGUGAUCACAAAGGUGGUUUUCCCAGAGUGAGGCUUAUCCAUUGUACUCCGGAUGUGCUGACCCCUGGAAUUUCCCCCAAUGUGGGAGACUCAGCUGCAAAAUUGUUGUGGUGGGGGACUGACGGCAUUGGCACUCUUCCCUA